GAACGCUGGCGGUGUGCUUAACACAUGCAAGUCGAACGGGCAAGAGCUGUAGCAAUACAGAAUUCUGCUAGUGGCAAACGGGUGAGUAAUACAUGGGAAUCUACCUUGCAGUGCGAAAUAACAGUUGGAAGCAAUUGCUAAUGUCGCAUAUAGCCGAGAGGUGAAAGAUUUAUCGCUGCAAGACGAGCCCAUGCAGGAUUAGCUAGUUGGUGGGGUAACGGCCUACCAAGGCGACGAUACGUAGCCGACCUGAGAGGGUGAUCGGCCACACUGGAACUGAGACACGGUC
RNAcentral lists this ribosomal RNA (289 nucleotides) under uncultured Rickettsiales bacterium. Its description in RNAcentral is "partial 16S ribosomal RNA". It matches the Rfam family "Bacterial small subunit ribosomal RNA", at positions 31 to 331 of the family's 1533-position model. The record is from RNAcentral. Lineage: Bacteria; Pseudomonadati; Pseudomonadota; Alphaproteobacteria; Rickettsiales.